This 465-nucleotide ribosomal RNA is filed under the name uncultured bacterium. Its description in RNAcentral is "bacterial SSU rRNA". It matches the Rfam family "Bacterial small subunit ribosomal RNA", at positions 338 to 795 of the family's 1533-position model. The record is from RNAcentral.
CCUACGGGUGGCAGCAGUGGGGAAUUUUGGACAAUGGGCGAAAGCCUGAUCCAGCAAUGCCGCGUGAGUGAAGAAGGCCUUCGGGUUGUAAAGCUCUUUUGUCAGGGAAGAAACGGUGAGGGCUAAUAUCCCUUGCUAAUGACGGUACCUGAAGAAUAAGCACCGGCUAACUACGUGCCAGCAGCCGCGGUAAUACGUAGGGUGCAAGCGUUAAUCGGAAUUACUGGGCGUAAAGCGUGCGCAGGCGGUUUUGUAAGUCUGAUGUGAAAUCCCCGGGCUCAACCUGGGAAUUGCAUUGGAGACUGCAAGGCUAGAAUCUGGCAGAGGGGGGUAGAAUUCCACGUGUAGCAGUGAAAUGCGUAGAUAUGUGGAGGAACACCGAUGGCGAAGGCAGCCCCCUGGGUCAAGAUUGACGCUCAUGCACGAAAGCGUGGGGAGCAAACAGGAUUAGAUACCCCGGUAGUC